GCGUCAAUAAAGAAUAUAACAGGCAUAAGUUAUAAUUAAUGACAGUUAAACAAGUUUCCGUGUUCAACAACAUUUUGCCCUGUAUGGCUGUCUCACCCUCCAGAUGUUUCCUGUCGACUUAUUCAUGGCAUGCUUGUCUUUAACACCUUCUGCAUCAAUAGUUGCUAACCAAGCAUAAAGCAAAAUAUGUUUCACCUUUACCCUAGAAAUAAAUCUAUGUGAUGUCUGUGUGUGUAAACAUGAUAUAAAAAUGAUACAAUUCGCACAGUGUGCAUAUUAUUAGUAAGGUAAAAGUAAUAGAAACUCUAAAUUGAAAUUAAGAUAUUUCCUUAGUGUUAUUUACAAAUAUUAAUUUAUGUUUUCCAGCUUAUAUUUACAUACUACAGAUUUUAUUCCCAGCUUUUUAAAAAUCUUAUUGUGUUAAUAUUGUGUCUUAAACGUGAACAUUUCUUCCGUCUGCUCUUUCUUCAUGUAACAUUUCAGGGUAAGACAGAUGAAAUCAUCAAACUGCUCCAGCAGGACAAAGAAACAGCAGAGAAGCUGAAGUAGCUUCAGGUUUGUCUUUCUGUUAUAAACAUUCUGAAUUUACUGACUUUACUGAACUCUAUUUAUGAAUAGAAUAAUUACAUACAUCAAUAUUUACUCACCGUCAGACUCUUCAAUAUAAAUGAAUAAAUUUAUAUUAAAUUUAAAUUAUCUGGACGCAGCGUUUUACAUAAUUCAUUAAAUCAGCAGCACUGAUAAACAAUAUUUACAUAAUACAGCUUUUAUUUGACUCUGUUUGUGUUAUCAUUAUUGUCUUAAACAGGAUUGUUUCUUUCUUCUGCUCUUUCCUCAUGUAACAUUUCAGCUCCAGGGUGAGACAGAUAGUGAAAUCAUCAAACAGCUCCAGGAGGUGAAAGACAAAGCAGCUUCUGAAGAAGCAGCUGGAGUCCAAAAAUUGGGAGAUGCUCCAGGCUGAGAAGACGAGGAAUGAUGAAACUGACAGAAAACUCAAAGAGUUGGUAAAGCAGCUCCAGUAUGAGAAGAAGAAAACUGAG
Oreochromis aureus is the source of this 1040-nucleotide long non-coding RNA. RefSeq lists it as uncharacterized. The record is from RefSeq and is a predicted model, not a curated record. Lineage: Eukaryota; Metazoa; Chordata; Actinopteri; Cichliformes; Cichlidae. The transcript has 3 exons.